UGGGGUAUCGUCAAGUGGCUAAGACCGCGGGUUUUGAUUCCGCUAUUCGUUGGUUCGAAUCCAGCUACCCCAA
Molecule: transfer RNA, 73 nt
Filed under: Fibrobacteria bacterium R8-3-H12
Lineage: Bacteria; Pseudomonadati; Fibrobacterota; Fibrobacteria
Also listed under: 1 other name
Description: tRNA-Gln
Rfam family: tRNA
About the family: Transfer RNA (tRNA) molecules are approximately 80 nucleotides in length. Their secondary structure includes four short double-helical elements and three loops (D, anti-codon, and T loops).
Source: RNAcentral